UCCGACUUGAAUUCAACUUUCUGGAACUUCCAGUGCACUUGGGUGAGAGACACAACGCGAGGCCGUGCAGGGAGCGAGCCCGGGCCGGGGGCAGACCUAGCACAGGCGAAGCACGUGAAGCAGCGCAGGCCCCAUCCCAGCGCGGGCGGGCCUCUGCCGACCCCCAAGUGUCACACACCCCGCGGCCACAGACACCCCCGAAGACGCACCCCCUGCCAGCUCCGAGCACUGGGCCCCAGCGCUUGAAGUCCCCGAGACGCAGGUGACUUAAAGGGUGGGAAAAUGAUGGAACUCGUCCCUCCAGAUUGCGGCUGUUCGUCAAGGAACUGAGCAGGACACUUUGGGGGCUCCCAGGGCAGAGAUGCCUGGGCACUCCGGCCAUCACCCGCUCAGGGAGGGUCCAGGCCACCAGGAGACUGUUCUGACGGGAGCAGACGCUGCUGAGCCAAGGCCGAAGUGAAGGGAUAGUAACUACGUGCCUCCUCUGCAGCACAGUUUCCUGCCGGUCGCCUACACGUUCGCCAAGAUGACCUCCCCUGUCGUCAUAGCAACCUCGGAAGGGGUGGAGGAGAUGCAGGGUGAUCAUCCUCGUUUUGCACAGGAGGGAGGUUGAGCCCCAGAGAGUCUGGACUGUGGGGGGGCCCCAGAUGACCGCAAGCUCACUGAUGAUGCUCCAGACCAUGCCUUCUCUGCCCGCUCCGAGGUCAGAGCUCCCACGGGGUCUCGCAGGACUUCGAUGAGUCGGGCCUGCGUUCCCUGGCAGUGGUUGGUCCAUUCCCACAGCCCCCUAUUCCUGCCUGCUCCUCUCCCGCCCGCUUCUUCCGCUCUCCCGCGGUUACACUGGGCCGACCGUGCGGUCCGGUACCAUCUCCCCACCGCAAGGUUCAGAAUCUAGUCACGACUUCGAAGUCCCUGCCGCCACCGGGGAAGGUGGCCUCGCAGCUUCCAGGGCACCCAGCUGUGGGUGUGUGCAGGGGCUGCAUGCUGCCCCCGGCACGGGCCUGGUAGGGUGCCUGAUCCCCGAAGGGGGCACGUGCCACGCAAAUCCAGCUGGGAAAACCGUGCGCUUCCAGCAGGACAUCAUUGCUCUGCCCGGGGAAAUAAUCUCAGAGUUCGUCCGCCCCGCAGCACCCCAAAACACGGCAGCAAAUGCUGCCUGCCUUCACCCCAAGUGCAGGGAGGGGGGGAAGAGUCCCAGUUUCCCCCGAAUAACACACGGCUGUCUAGCUACAAAAUAACAGGAGGUUACAAUUUUCACAGGCCGUCCCUUCCCCUCUCUCUUCGGACACGAACUGUAUUUCACACUGCGAGAAGUGAAGUGAUUUUUUUCUCCUCCCUUUGCGUUCUGCUUGUGCAUUUCGUGCUUAAGGCUCACCUUCCGGAGGGAGCCAGGAGAAGGGGAAUGAUCUUCACGAAGCGUUGUUGCACAAGGUCGUCUCUCACAUGGGCGGCUCCCUGCCGCCGUGACAGAGAGAGAAUCCAGCAGGUUCGAGAGAAGCACAG
This is a long non-coding RNA of Phyllostomus hastatus (greater spear-nosed bat), 1503 nucleotides long. RefSeq lists it as uncharacterized. The transcript has 3 exons. The record is from RefSeq and is a predicted model, not a curated record. Lineage: Eukaryota; Metazoa; Chordata; Mammalia; Chiroptera; Phyllostomidae.